GGUGUAAGCAAUUAGCUGGAAUAAAGUAUCAUCCAUACUGAGUAUGCAGUGGUCUUGUCCCCUCAGCGGUGGUGGGCUGAGUGAUCCGUGCGGGCGGCCUGGUGAUGUUGUCGGUAGUGGCAACAUAUGGUGACCCCCGACGUGAUCGGCGGAAAGCAGGACGCCCGCGGUCAUGGCGCAGAUGGAACAGGUGAUUAAGAUUGAUGUGUUCUUCGGAGCGCUCGCCGUGACGCAGAUCCAGCUGGGGUCACUCAAAUAUUGGCAAGAUUGGACACUGAAGUGGAACAUGUCCAGCACCUGUUAAUAUCUUCCGCAGUUGGCUCAGCUGGCACGUGUGCUGGGCAGGCACGUCAUGUAUCAGCCUGUGCCACAGGAUGCUGGAGUCAUCGAGCUUAGGGAGCGGGAGAUGUUGUAGGCGUCCGGAAGAUCUUGUGUUGUAACGCAAGAGGUGGAGGGUACAGAAGAGGUGGGCAAGGGGUUGAGUGAAAGGAGGUGCUUGUGUUAGCAGAUAAAAGCACAUAGUGUAAACAAUUAGUUGGAAUAAAGCAUCAUCCAUACUGAG
Molecule: long non-coding RNA, 562 nt
Organism: Colius striatus (speckled mousebird)
Lineage: Eukaryota; Metazoa; Chordata; Aves; Coliiformes; Coliidae
Exons: 2
Source: RefSeq, a predicted model, not a curated record